UACGUGGGGUGCGAGCGUUGUUCGGAAUUACUGGGUGUAAAGCGCGUGUAGGCGGCCUAUUAUGUCAGGUGUGAAAGCCCUCGGCCUAACCGAGGAAGUGCGCCUGAAACUGCUAGGCUUGAGUACGAGAGAGGAGGACGGAAUUCCCAGUGUAGAGGUGAAAUUCGUAGAGAUUGGGAGGAACACCGGCGGCGAAAGCGGUUCUCUGGAUCGAUACUGACGAUAAGACGCGAAAGAGUGGGGAGCAAACAGG
RNAcentral lists this ribosomal RNA (253 nucleotides) under uncultured bacterium. RNAcentral describes it as "partial 16S ribosomal RNA". It matches the Rfam family "Bacterial small subunit ribosomal RNA", at positions 524 to 776 of the family's 1533-position model. The record is from RNAcentral.